Long non-coding RNA from Poeciliopsis prolifica (blackstripe livebearer), 658 nucleotides. RefSeq lists it as uncharacterized. The record is from RefSeq and is a predicted model, not a curated record. The transcript has 2 exons. NCBI's taxonomy places the organism in Eukaryota, Metazoa, Chordata, Actinopteri, Cyprinodontiformes, Poeciliidae.
GGUCAGACGAGAGUGCAUCUUCAAAGGUCUGUGUGUACCUAAAUGAAGAUCCAGAGAAGCUGGUGAGGGAGUACAUGGACGUUGAUGAAUGAAAUGGCCAAAGCCGAGACUGUCCUCGGAAUCGUUGUCAUUUGAGCAGAGGCUGCUGAUGCACAUCUGGAUGUUGGGAUUGUCCUGGAGGAGGUGGAAGUUAUGAACAGCUUGGGCAGUGUAUCUUCUGCAAUAGUGAUGCUGCUGGGACUAAUCUACGCACUAAACUUGAGCUACCCUCAAGUUUAGUGCGUUCAGCACUCAACUUGCUCAGUAACUCAAGCAUACCUUUGAAGUAAUACAGAAAAUAAUAAUGAAAUUGGAUGGAAAGAAUUUAUCAAAGAAAGCACAAGUUCUCAAUAUGAAACUCGCUGCUAAGUUGAGUAAAGUUUCAUAUGGAAAAUGAGUGUUUAAAGUCUGCAGUAGAAAAGAUUUAUAUUGUUACAGUUCUCUAAGUUGAGCAACUAUACUGACAUGUUUUAUGUUGUAAAGAAUUGGCUGGGAAAUGAAACUGUAACCUUUUGUAGUUGUUUUUUUAUUUCAAUGUCCAACUCAGCUGUGUUUUGUGCUGUGUAAAAAAACGAUGUAUAACAAUUCUGAAAAUACAAUUGUGUUGUACCUUUUCUAA